ACAGCACUGCGACUGACCGUCGUGACUGCCGACAGGAGGAAGAACUGCCUGGUGGGUUAGCGCAGCACAGGUCUGGAUGGUCUGUGCGGUGAUGGUGAGAUGGCUGCAGACUGAGGGAGUGAUGGCCUCCCCGGCUGUGGCGACGCCAUCCCCUAGGCUGGCAGCCAGGGCACAACGAAAGGGACGGAGGACAUUGGGGCACGUCUUGGAAAGCUCCGUUCUGCUGUAGCAGGUGAAUCUUUUGCUGCCAUCACCUGCGGAUGUCAGUCCCCGAAUUUCUUCAGCCUCGAGGGCAGACUCACUAGGACUCUCCAGGAAACUGGGCCCAAAUGGAUUGAAGACAAAAUAUAAGAGCCGACAUCAUAAAAGUCUAAGAAGAAGACGUAGGGAAUGAGUUUUUGGCAUGGAUGUUUGUGCUUUUUUUUUUUUUUUUUUUUUUUU
Fukomys damarensis (Damara mole-rat) is the source of this 441-nucleotide long non-coding RNA. RefSeq lists it as uncharacterized. The transcript is spliced from 2 exons. The record is from RefSeq and is a predicted model, not a curated record. NCBI's taxonomy places the organism in Eukaryota, Metazoa, Chordata, Mammalia, Rodentia, Bathyergidae.